RNAcentral lists this ribosomal RNA (200 nucleotides) under uncultured bacterium. Its description in RNAcentral is "partial 16S ribosomal RNA". It matches the Rfam family "Bacterial small subunit ribosomal RNA", at positions 8 to 222 of the family's 1533-position model. The record is from RNAcentral.
AGAGUUUGAUCAUGGCUCAGAAUCAACGCUGGCGGCGCGCUUAACACAUGCAAGUCGAGCGAGAAAGGGGAGCAAUCCCUGAGUACAGCGGCGUACGGGUGAGUAACACGUGGGUUAUCUACCUUCUAGUGGGGAAUAACCUUGGGAAACCGAGGCUAAUACCGCAUAAUCCUGUAAAGGGAAAGCAGCAAUGCGCUGGA